UACAGAGGUCCCGAGCGUUGUUCGGAUUUAUUGGGAGUAAAGGGUGCGUAGGCGGCGGAGUAAGUUGGGUGUGAAAUCCCGAGGCUCAACCUCGGAAUUGCAUUCAAUACUGCUUCGCUCGAGUACUGGAGAGGAGGCUGGAAUUUACGGUGUAGCAGUGAAAUGCGUAGAUAUCGUAAGGAAGGCCGGUGGCGAAAGCGAGCCUCUGGACAGUUACUGACGCUGAUGCACGAAGGCCAGGGGAGCAAACGGG
RNAcentral lists this ribosomal RNA (253 nucleotides) under uncultured bacterium. RNAcentral's name for it is "partial 16S ribosomal RNA". It matches the Rfam family "Bacterial small subunit ribosomal RNA", at positions 524 to 776 of the family's 1533-position model. The record is from RNAcentral.